UACGUAGGGGGCUAGCGUUGUCCGGAAUCAUUGGGCGUAAAGAGCGUGUAGGCUGCUCGGUAAGUCCGCUGUAAAAGUCAAAGGCUCAACCUUUGAAUGUCAGUGGAUACUGCCGGGCUAGAGUCCGGAAGAGGCGAGUGGAACUGCGAGUGUAGAGGUGAAAUUCGUAGAUAUUCGCAAGAACACCAGUGGCGAAGGCGGCUCACUGGCACGGUACUGACGCUGAGGAGCGAAAGCUGGGGGAGCGAACAGG
RNAcentral lists this ribosomal RNA (253 nucleotides) under uncultured bacterium. Its description in RNAcentral is "partial 16S ribosomal RNA". It matches the Rfam family "Bacterial small subunit ribosomal RNA", at positions 524 to 776 of the family's 1533-position model. The record is from RNAcentral.